Nematostella vectensis (starlet sea anemone) is the source of this 2154-nucleotide RNA transcript. RefSeq lists it as uncharacterized. The record is from RefSeq and is a predicted model, not a curated record. The transcript is spliced from 3 exons. NCBI's taxonomy places the organism in Eukaryota, Metazoa, Cnidaria, Anthozoa, Actiniaria, Edwardsiidae.
UGUGCGAUAAAUUGUUGGUCGUUCGGCUGCUGAUUCAUUGGUGGCGGGUUCAGUUCAUUUAGCCUCAGAGGGUCCAGAACUUGUCUUGUUUGUUCUGCCCUCUGAUCUCCUCGUGGUCGGGGAACAAGGGGAGGUGAAUGCAGCAUCGAGGGCAUUGGUGGUGGCGUUUUUAUACCUUCGGCUGACGAGGACGUGUUGCUAGCGUUACUAGUCGAGGAUGAGGCAAAAUCGAGUGAUCUCGAGGAACCAGAGCGACUUCUUGCCGCCGACAUCGAAGGGGAACUGUUGUUCCUCGAAGCCGAAGAAGCGUCGCGAAUGGGAGAAAGAUCGGAUUCGUCGCUGGACGACAAUUCUCGCCUUUCAAUAGGCGUUGACGAAUCUAUAGGUACCCGGCGAUUGAGCUGCUCUACUUGUUCUUGAAGGACUGGCGGGUUGUCAGAUCGAGCAGUUUGGGCGCCAUCUAUUUCACCACGUUCUCUUGAGCUAACAUUUGCAACCGAAGCGCUUGCAAUGUCGAGCUGCUGCUUCUUUGUUUUGCUUGGAGGAUUUUCGGUUCCUAUAUGCUCUAGCCAUUUUAAAAGAUCCAAGCAACGAAAAUCACAAUAAACGAGAAAGUAUUUUAAAGAACAACUACUGAUGCGUGCGAGUUUAAGCGCCAAAUGAUUUGAAUCCAGCACUCUUUGUUAAGAAUCAAGCAUGCCUACCAUUCCAAUGUUCGCUGCUUGCGCUCAUUGGUCAAACAUCUGCAUUCACGUGGGCAGAGCAUGAUAGCUAUCCGUGUAGUCUGUAUCUUUGUACAGCGGUAUACCAAUUCAAAACAUACAUUGAAGAUGGCCGACUUCCGCAAGAAGCGAAAAUAUUGUGAACACUGCCAUCAGUACUUGAGUUUAAGGACUUAUCGUAGGCAUUUAAGCCUAUAUUUUGACUGUAAAAACAAGAAAUGGAAGUGUGACGAUUCGUCAGACGAUGAAUUAUUUGCGAAUAUCAACGCACCUAACAAUGACAGUCGACAAGAAGCAUUGGACAUGGAGGAAUCAAGCAAGGGAGAACAGCAAGAAAUUACUACAAAGUCAUUCAUUAUUUUCAAUGCUCAUGUCAUGACUAAGACAGAGACAGAAUACCAAGACAAGAAAAAAUGUUCCAGGGAUAUUGUACACUAAAUGUCCAAGGGGUAGAUACCAAGACAGGAAGCUCAGAGGAAGAUAUGUCUAGUGAUGAAGAUGAUGAUUGGGCAUAUACAAACCAGGACAACAGAACAUUUGGAACAAAAAAAGUGCCAGCAAUAGCAGAAGUAUGGGAACUGUCAGAGAAAGACAUCAACUUUGAUUUUACAGAAGAUGGGGACUUGCCAUGUGUUGAUACCAAUCCUGCUAGUUCAUUAGUUACACCUAUGAGGCCCAUUGCUAAGUGUGCCAUGGUGUUUCUUUGCUUAUGGACUUCAUUUUGCUCUGUAUCUGACAAUGCCCUCGAUAUUUUGCUGUCCUUUUUAAGAGUGUUGUUAGAACGGUUCCACUGAAAGCAGCCUUUGCAGCUAUCCUUCCAAAUACUGUGCACCUGUACAGAGCUAAUCUUGGCAUUGACAAUGACCAGUUUGUAAAAUAUGUGGUAUGUCCAAGCUGUAGCAGCAUAUACAAUUUUCAAGACUGUUAUAAACUCACAUGGGAUGGUAAGCGGGUUACUCGGUUGUGCCAAUAUGUGGCAUUUCCACAUCACCGUCAAGUAUUUCGUAGAACUGCCUGCAAUGAACCUUUGUUGAAACAGAUUACUUUAAAGAAUGGACAAUCGAGGUUAUACCCGUUUAAGGUUUAUUGCUAUAAAAGCAUAGCACAUACCUUAAAUAGGUUUUUGCAUAGGCCAGGAUUUGUUGACAUGUGUGAAUCAUGGCGGAAGAGGGACAUACCUACUGGUUUUCUUGCUGAUGUAUAUGAUGGCAGAGUCUGGAAAGAGUGGCAGACUGUUGAUGGUGAGCAAUAUUUAGCAUUGCCUUAUAAUUAUGGCUUCAUGUUAAAUGUGGACUGGUUUCAACCAUUCAAGCACUCUGUAUACAGUGUUGGGGCUCUCUAUAUGGUUUUAAUGAAUCUGCCAAGAUCAGAGAGGUUCAAACCAGAAAAUCUUUUCUUAGUUGGCAUUAUACCUGGUCCUCAUGAGCCAAAA